This 269-nucleotide long non-coding RNA is filed under the name Lathyrus oleraceus (garden pea). Its description in RNAcentral is "Pisum sativum (pea) long non-coding RNA (PSAT_LNC034464)". The record is from RNAcentral. Lineage: Eukaryota; Viridiplantae; Streptophyta; Magnoliopsida; Fabales; Fabaceae.
UUUCCACAUUUUUCUAAUUUCUGAUUUUAUUUUCUUUAAUUCCAUUUUAUUUCAAAAAAUCAUAACUCUUUCAUUUUUAAUCCAAAAAUUAUGGGACCAAUUGCAUUAGUCUCCAAAUAAAUUAUAUUUUCUAUUUCUGAUUUUUAAUAUUUUUUAUUUUGUCAUUUGAUAUUUUUUGUGAUUUUUCUCUUUUCUGGUUAUUUUUAAUUCAUUUUAAAUAGUUUUUGAUAUUCAAAAAAUACAAAAAUAUUUUCCUAACCUAUUUGAAU